AGUGAACGCUGGCGGUAGGCCUAACACAUGCAAGUCGAACGGCAGCACAGUAAGAUCUUGCUCUUACGGGUGGCGAGUGGCGGACGGGUGAGGAAUACAUCGGAAUCUACUUUUUCGUGGGUGAUAACGUAGGGAAACUUACGCUAAUACCGCAUACGACCUACGGGUGAAAGCAGUGGAUCUUCGGACCUUUCGCGAUUGAAUGAGCCGAUGUCGGAUUAGCUAGGUGGCGGGGUAAAGGCCCACCAAGGCGAGGAUCCGUAGCUGGUCCGAGAGGAUGGUCCGCCACACUGGAACUGAGACACGGUCCAGACUCCUACGGGAGGCAGCAGUGGGGAAUAUUGGACAAUGGGCGGAAGCCUGAUCCAGCCAUACCGCGUGGGUGAAGAAGGCCUUCGGGUUGUAAAGACCUUUUGUUGGGAAAGAAAAGCAGCAGGUUAAUACCCCGCUGUUCUGACGGUACCCAAAGAAUAAGCACCGGCUAAAUUCGUG
Molecule: ribosomal RNA, 492 nt
Filed under: uncultured bacterium
Lineage: Bacteria
Description: partial 16S ribosomal RNA
Rfam family: Bacterial small subunit ribosomal RNA
Source: RNAcentral